RNAcentral lists this unclassified non-coding RNA (260 nucleotides) under fungal sp. Its description in RNAcentral is "partial internal transcribed spacer region". Lineage: Eukaryota; Fungi. The record is from RNAcentral.
AAGUUGUAACAAGGUCUCUGUUGGUGAACUAGCGGAGGGAUUAUUAUAGAGUUGCAAAACUCCUAUCACUAUUGCAAACUUACCUUACACCCGUUGCUUUAGCAGGCAGCCCUAGGCUUCUGUUUUCAUAGAUCCUUAGGGCCCUAUAGCCUGAUUGUCAGGUGCCUGCCAGAGGUCAUGCAACUAGACAUUGUUUAUAGCCUGUUAGAAUUUGUACUACCAAUUAGUCAAAACUUUCAACAACAGAUCUCUUAGUUCUA